GACGAACGCUGGCGGCGUGCCUAAUACAUGCAAGUAGAACGCUGAAGAGAGGAGCUUACUCUUCUUGGAUGAGUUGCGAACGGGUGAGUAACGCGUAGGUAACCUGCCUUGUAGCGGGGGAUAACUAUUGGAAACGAUAGCUAAUACCGCAUAACAAUGGAUGACACAUGUCAUUUAUUUGAAAGGGGCAAUUGCUCCACUACAAGAUGGACCUGCGUUGUAUUAGCUAGUAGGUGAGGUAAUGGCUCACCUAGGCGACGAUACAUAGCCGACCUGAGAGGGUGAUCGGCCACACUGGGACUGAGACACGGCCCAGACUCCUACGGGAGGCAGCAGUAGGGAAUCUUCGGCAAUGGGGGCAACCCUGACCGAGCAACGCCGCGUGAGGGAAGAAGGUUUUCGGAUCGUAAAGCUCUGUUGUAAGUCAAGAAAGGGUGUGAGAGUGGAAAGUUCACACUGUGACGGUAGCUUACCAGAAAGGGACGGCUAACUACGUG
RNAcentral lists this ribosomal RNA (497 nucleotides) under uncultured bacterium. Its description in RNAcentral is "partial 16S ribosomal RNA". It matches the Rfam family "Bacterial small subunit ribosomal RNA", at positions 28 to 507 of the family's 1533-position model. The record is from RNAcentral.